CACAAUCUUGGGCAAGCUCAACCAUGCCAACAUAACUGAUUGAGGAGUUUUGGACAUUCGAUGAGCUCCCACUCCAGGAAGAAUUCUACACCAAGACAAUCAUCAUCUUAAAACUCAGGACAUUAUGCUACUCGAGAUGCCAACGUCGAAAGAAAGUUCCAAGAGAUACAUCAACUGAUUGAAGCCCUAAAAGGGCUGGCUUAGGCCCA
Molecule: long non-coding RNA, 209 nt
Filed under: Elaeis guineensis (African oil palm)
Lineage: Eukaryota; Viridiplantae; Streptophyta; Magnoliopsida; Arecales; Arecaceae
Description: long non-coding RNA (EGUI_LNC002825)
Source: RNAcentral